This 406-nucleotide ribosomal RNA is filed under the name uncultured bacterium. RNAcentral describes it as "partial 16S ribosomal RNA". It matches the Rfam family "Bacterial small subunit ribosomal RNA", at positions 30 to 526 of the family's 1533-position model. The record is from RNAcentral.
AUUGAACGCUGGCGGCAUGCUUUACACAUGCAAGUCGGACGAGUGGCGAACGGGUGAGUAACAUAUCGGAACGUCACGAGUAAUGGGGGAUAACUAAUCGAAAGAUUAGCUAAUACCGCAGAUUAUUCGAACGGCCGAUAUCUGAUUCGCUGGUUGGUUGGGUCAAGGCAUACCAAGGCGACGAUCAGUAGCGGGUCUGAGCGGAUGAUCCGCCACACUGGGACGGCGACACGGCCCAGACUCCGACGGGAGGCAGCAGUGGGGAAUGUUGGACAAUGUGCGCAAGCCUGAUCCAGCCAUGCCGAGUGUCUGAAGAAGACCUACGGGUUGUAAAGGACUUUUGUCAGGGAAGCGGUACCUGAAGAAUAAGCACCGGCUAACUACGUGCCAGCAGCCGCGGUAAUUC